GAGAGACUAUCAUCAUAAGCCCUGGUCUGUCUAAAGCUUCAACUAACAUCAGGUACUAUUAAGAUAUUGAUUGGAUCUGUGGUGUAUUUACUGCGUUUCACUUGCAAAGUGGAUGUGUUGAUUUGAAUGUAUUUCUGUUUGUUUCCUGUGGGAGAUGUGGGCUGGGCUGACCGGGCUGGUAGCCGUGUCCGAAGAGAGGGGGUUACAGAAGCACAGAGAUGGCAUAGCGCAUAUAAACAGACUCACAUGUCUACACGUAUACUGCAUAGCACACAGAGAGAGAGAGGGACGAGGGAGACAGAGAAAGGGGGAGUGCGCGUACGUGUGUUUGUGUGUGUGUUUUGAACUGUGUGAGGUUACGCAGUUGUGGGUAUACAGGGAGUACAGGAGGGGACUGAGGAUGCAGCCUUGUGGGGCCCCAGUGUUCAGGAUCAGUGUGGAGGAGGUAAUGUUGCCUGCCUUCACCACCUGGGGAUGGCCUGUUAGGAAGUCCAGGACCCAGUUGCAUAUGGAGUUCAGUUCUAUAGCCGAGAACUUUCUGGUGAGCUUAGAGGGCAUUAUGGUAUUGAAGGCUGGGCUGUAGUCGAUGAACAGCAUACUCAGAUAUGCAUUCCUUUGGUCCAGGUGGGUGAGGGCAGUGUGCAGUACAAUGGUGAUUGCAUUGGCUGUGAAUCAGUAGGCAAAUUGGAGCAGGUCGAGUGUCUCGGGGAGGCAGGAGGUGAUGUGGUCUUUAAAGCACUUCAUGAUGACAGAAGUGAGUGCUACGGGUCGGUAGUCAUUCAGUUCAGUUACUUUCCCUUUCUUCGGCAUGGCGAUGAUAGUGGACAUCUUGAAGCAGGUGGGGAUAAUGGCUUGAGCUAGAGAGAGAUUGAAAAUGUCAGAAAACAAAACAGCUUGCUGGUCUGCACAUGCUCUGAAUGCGCAGCAAGGGCUGCUGUCUGGACUGGCAGCCUUGCGAGGGUGAAGACGCUUGAAUGACUUAAAUACUUCCUCCUUGGAGACCAUAAGCACAUAGACCUUGUUGUCCUCAGGGGCUCUCCUCGGCAGCUUAGAGUCGUUAUGCUUGAAGCGUGAGAAAAAGGUGUUUAGCUCGUCCAGAAGGGCGGCAUCAGUGACCGCGAUGUGACUGGCUUUCUUUUUCUAAUCUGUUAUCGUUAGAAGCCCCUGCCACACACGCCUUGUGUCCGAUCCGCUGAAUUGCUCCUGCACUUUGUCCCUACAUUUGUGUCUCGCCAUCUUGAUCAAUCUGCGUAAGUCGUAUUUGUACUGUUUAACCUCUCUAGGGUAGGGGGCAGUAUUUGCACGGCUGGAUAAAAAACGCAC
RNAcentral lists this long non-coding RNA (1323 nucleotides) under Salmo salar (Atlantic salmon). RNAcentral's name for it is "lncRNA (ENSSSAG00000120080.1)". The record is from RNAcentral. Lineage: Eukaryota; Metazoa; Chordata; Actinopteri; Salmoniformes; Salmonidae.